GCAGAGACCGGGGAAGCGACACCAGAGCUUGAGAAGGGUCGGGGGGACCGCCGGCCGCUGUACAGUCCUGCCCGGCGGUGGGGACCGCUCGGAAGGAGACGAAGUGACUAGGGGAGGGGGGCGCCCGCCUCCUCGAGCUCGUCAGAGGCGCUCCGCCCCCUCCAGCCGCCCGGCCUGUCGGGGCGGCUGCCGCCGUCGGCCCCGGCCCGAGGCGAGGCUGGGCGCAGCGCGGCAAGGCGCCGGUGUCUCUGGAGCAGCAGGAGGCAUCUGUCUUGCGUCUGCAGAACUCUCCUUCAUAUAAGCGUGGAAUAGUUUUUCUCUAAAGCGGAUGAUCAAGAAGCCUUGGAGUUCUUACAUGAGUUUGCACGAGACCUGAAAGUUUUGAAACAGUAUACCCAGUGCUUGCCGCUGCCAUCGCCUUGGUAAUGUUACACUGAUGGAAGGAAGCAUGCCUACAGUUGAAGAGCAUUCAAGUUUACUGGAGCUAUGGUACCUCAGAAUUUAAUUUAAUUUGGUGACCAUAGAUGAUGAAAGAAAAGUGAUCUUCUGUUUUUCAAAUACUGCAGUUUGUUCUUUGUAACAAGAUGGUUUACUGUGAAAGAUGAAACUUUCUGGACACUAAAAGGUAGCUGGUAGGCAUAGCAAAAUGCUUUGUUUGAGGCAAGUUUGUUUGUUUACAUUGAGACAUUGCCAGGCUCGGACUCUGAGUAGCGAUCUGCUAUUGAGCCUGAUAAAUAGUUGCACCCAUGAAGAUGAAGUAUUCAGCCUUGUUAGAAGGAACAAGGCCAGGCUUUCUGAAAAACAUGGGGGAAUUGCAUUGAACAUGCUGUGGCAAUUGCAAAAGAAAAGACCACUUCUCUUAAGGACUGGUAACUAUAUAAGGAAUCACUCCCAGUUUCUCACCCUUUGGGUUUUAGCAGAAAACAAGGUGGAACACAUGGAAGAUGAGGCCAUAGUGGACACCCUGUAUAGUAUUCUGAGGCUCAAUGUUGAAGACUAUGGUUCUCCAGCAGAACUGCUUGUUACAGAAGCAUGGAAAAGAUUAGAAAGACUUAGUUUGCCAGCUCUGUCUAAAUUUGCACUGUGUUUAUACAAGCAACACAGACAUUUAAGUCCUGUAAUUGGCGAAGUUGCUGGUAUUGUGGACACGAAACUGGAUUCUAUACAAGAUAUAAGGAUCUUGUCGGUUUUGAUGAUCAGCAUAUCUGAUGUUAUCUCACAGAGUUUUCGAGAUCGAUUACUACACAAAGCUGGACAACUCAUGGAAGGAAGCGAUGAAGUCCACUUCAACUAUGCCAAAAGAGUAUUACAGUUUCUUCAAAAUGUUAAACUAAGAUAUCAUCCAUUGCUAGAAAAAUGUAACAAGAUUUUCCUUAGAAAUGUCUCCUGUCUUGAUAUACACAGUAUUAGCCAUAUUUUUGGACUGUAUGAGCAAUUGGGUUUUGACAAUGCUGAGUUCCGCUUGGUUGUUAAACAGCUGCUGUCUGCAACUCUAGAUGAUUAUGAUGAUCCUGAUACCUUUGCAAAACUAUUUUUUACUCUUGGGCCUAUGGCAGGAUCCCAGGUAAGAGAAAGGUUGCUAGUAACUGCAGCAUGCAUGGCAGAAGAAUUUAGCCGUCACCAAGUAUUGGUAAUACUGAAGACAAUGCAUAAAAUGAAAUGCAGAAACACUCAUCUACUCAAAAAAAUGGCAUCUGUUCUGCACAAACACAUGGACACCUAUCAGGUCUUACAGUUGGUAAAGUUAACACAGUACUUGGUGGGGCUGCGUUGCCAAGAUAUGGAGCUGUUUGCCAAACUAAAAAUGUUGCUGUUAGGUUUUUUAAAAUCUAGCAUCACACCUGCUCAUACUGCUGCAAUAAUUCGUGUUCUGGCCAUGCUUCCUUCCUUUCAAGUGGAGGGAAGCACUAUAAACAAAGCAGCAGCAGUUCUGCCUCAGUGCAGGCUUCAUCAUUUGAAUUACAUUGCUACAGCUCUUGUCAAAUGGAAUCAUUAUGACCAGUUGCACUGGCAAAACAGUUCUGAGCUAUGUGUAAAGCUUCUGCAAAAAGUGAAUGACUGUGGAUUUCAGAGGCUUCAGAAAGCCAACAACAUAAAUCUUCUGUUGGAAGAACUUAAGCAUGUGAAUGGAGAGUGGUUUGAAGAAGUCCUCAUUGAGGAAACCAUGGCCACGUGUCAACGCUUGAUAGACCAAAUAACGUGGCCAAAUGUGUUACAGUUGUGUUCUUUUCUCCGAAAAACAAGCCGCUGUUGUCCUUCAUUACUUGACAGAAUAGCUUCUGUGACUGUUGAAAAUAUAGACAAGAUCCACCCUUUUGAAAUGUACUUUAUUCUCGUCCUUUUCUCUACUCUGAAUUAUGACCCUCCUGCCAAUGAAGAGUUCUUUGCCAGGUGUAUCCAACAUCUUACUUCUAACUUGAGUAAGUGCAUUAGAGAAAGAUAUUGUUGUUUUGAAACUCACCACUUGGUGCUUCUUGGUCAUAUUUUGGCAGUGGCUGGGUAUUUUCCUCCAGUUCUGAUAACAAAGAUAUUUAAUGUUUCUUUCCUAAGCAAAUUGGAUACUCAGCUUGAAGUCCUGCCUGAUACCUUAAAGCACAGGGUCCGCUUGCGCCUCAUGAAAUUGAACAGAGCAGUAUGUCUGGAAUGCCCAGAGUUUCAUAUCCCUUGGUUUCAUGAGCACUACUGCCAACGUGUCUUUUUUAACAGCAGUCACCGAAAAAAUCCACUGCGACAGCAUGUUCACAGAAUGCUGACGGAGAUCUUGGGGGGGAGCCAUUUUGCAAAAAUAUCUGUUCUCACACCUUACUACUAUGAAAUAGAUCUUGAAUGCAUUCUGGAUGAAAAUAAAAAGCCUCUUUCCUAUAUGACUGUACCUUUGGAUGGUGUGGAGGGAAUGCACUUGAGACAUGACAUCAAGGAUGAAGCGAGAAAUGCUCUGCCACCAGGAGCUCAGAGAAUUGCUUUGGAAUUUCUCGAUUCAAAAGCUUUUAGCAAAGGUUCACGUCACCUGAAAGGAGAAUCAGCAGUGAAGAAACGACAUCUGGAAAUUCUGGGGUACCGGGUAGUUCAGAUUCCUCACUUUGAAUGGAAUUCAAUGGUUUUGUCAACAAAAGGUGAACAGCUAGAUUAUCUGAGAAGGCAUCUCUAUGGAAUACAGUAAUGUCAGCCAGGAAUUCAAAAGUGCUUUUUAUACCAACACUUCAAGGACCAUUAAAUUUCUUGUAAUCCUGGAAUAUUUAGUUUCAAAAAUGUCUUUGUGAGUCAGCUGGACCAAGGCUUACCAUGGAGCAUCAGAUGUCAAGAGAUUAAUCCUCCAUUUAUUAGGGAUUGAAAGAGGCAGAUCACAGUGGGUCAAGAAGGUGUGAUAAAGAUGCUUAAAAUCUCCCACUAUUUGGAAGCUAUUCUUUAAGUAAAUGGGUCUGUGACAGUUUUGACAUUAAAGUACAUUAUUGUAUCCCAAAUAAAUAGUAUAGAGGCUUAGCCAGACAGAAAACUGUCCAAAUAAAAAGCUGGAAGUAUUCUUCACUGUCAGAAUAGAAGCAGCAGAUCUACUGGAAACCGUCCCCUUCAGCAUGUGAUGGAAUGAGCAAUUGGAAUCAAAGACUACUAUCACUGUGAAACCAAGAAACAGAGAUGCAGAUGUACGAAGAGGAGGACUACUAGUACAGCCAUUCUGUCUUCCAGAUGAGAGUCAUUCUUUCCAAAUGGAAUCAGCAUGUGUUACAGCAGAUGGGCUGGUGUAAACCAGUGAUUUAACUGGAGCCAAUGAAAGAUGCUAAAAACGGCUGAAGAUUAGGCUGCUAAAGGGGAAAACAGAAGAGAUAUCCCCCAGAUUUAAGUACCAGUGUACACUUUGGCAUGUUCCUUCUCUGCUAUGCUGCUAUUUCUAAAUUAUCUUCUACAGAUCUCACAAGCCCAGUAACAACUGAUGGUACCUUCCUUGCUUUGGAAACAAACACAUGCCCAUCUAAAUCAGGUCAUCACUUCCCAGAGUCCCUGGAGCGUGAAUCUGUCCUUCAGCUUCUCUAUUGCAAGUCCCAGUUCUUCUGAAAACACGGGCUCCCGGUCAUGUUGCUUUUUGGAAUGCAUUAGAUAUGAGAGAAAACAA
Molecule: RNA transcript, 4108 nt
Organism: Colius striatus (speckled mousebird)
Lineage: Eukaryota; Metazoa; Chordata; Aves; Coliiformes; Coliidae
Gene: FASTKD1
Gene name: FAST kinase domains 1
Exons: 19
Source: RefSeq, a predicted model, not a curated record